This 300-nucleotide ribosomal RNA is filed under the name Bacillus thuringiensis. Its description in RNAcentral is "bacterial SSU rRNA". It matches the Rfam family "Bacterial small subunit ribosomal RNA", at positions 60 to 346 of the family's 1533-position model. Lineage: Bacteria; Bacillati; Bacillota; Bacilli; Caryophanales; Bacillaceae. The record is from RNAcentral.
CAGUCGAGCAGAAUGGAUUGAGAGCUUGCUCUCAAGAAGUUAGCGGCGGACGGGUGAGUAACACGUGGGUAACCUGCCCAUAAGACUGGGAUAACUCCGGGAAACCGGGGCUAAUACCGGAUAACAUUUUGAACUCCAUGGUUCGAAAUUGAAAGGCGGCUUCGGCUGUCACUUAUGGAUGGACCCGCGUCGCAUUAGCUAGUUGGUGAGGUAACGGCUCACCAAGGCAACGAUGCCUAGCCGACCUGAGAGGGUGAUCGGCCACACUGGGACUGAAACACCGCCCACACUACUACGGGA